UACGUAGGGUGCAAGCGUUGUCCGGAUUUAUUGGGCGUAAAGAGCUCGUAGGCGGUUAGUCACGUCGGAUGUGAAAACCAGAAGCUUAACUUCUGGCCUGCAUUCGAUACGGGCUGACUAGAGUGUUGUAGGGGAGACUGGAACUCCUGGUGUAGCGGUGAAAUGCGCAGAUAUCAGGAAGAACACCGGUGGCGAAGGCGGGUCUCUGGGCAACUACUGACGCUGAGGAGCGAAAGCGUGGGGAGCAAACAGG
Molecule: ribosomal RNA, 253 nt
Filed under: uncultured bacterium
Lineage: Bacteria
Description: partial 16S ribosomal RNA
Rfam family: Bacterial small subunit ribosomal RNA
Source: RNAcentral